Molecule: non-coding RNA, 157 nt
Filed under: Stackebrandtia nassauensis
Lineage: Bacteria; Bacillati; Actinomycetota; Actinomycetes; Glycomycetales; Glycomycetaceae
Source: RNAcentral
GACGAUCGGUGGAUUGACGGUCACCCCGGGUUCUGCCAUGCUUCGAGCCAUCCAGUCGGUGGGGGAAGUCCGGUCGAAGUCCGGCGCUGACCCGCAACGGUAGGCGCGCCAUCAGUGGCGCGCGAGCCCGAGUACCCGUUGACUGGCCGCCCCCUUG